CCUACGGGUGGCAGCAGUGAGGAAUAUUGGUCAAUGGGCGGAAGCCUGAACCAGCCAAGUAGCGUGCAGGAUGACGGCCCUACGGGUUGUAAACUGCUUUUAUACGGGAAUAACGCGCCUUACGUGUAGGGCUUUGCAUGUACCGCAUGAAUAAGGACCGGCUAAUUAUGUGCCAGCAGCCGCGGUAAUACGGAAGUUCCGGGCGUUAUCCGGAUUUAUUGGGUUUAACGGGAGCGUAGGCGGCAUGUCAAGCUUGGUGGGAAAGGUCCGGGCUCAACCCGCGGAUUGCAGGGCGAACUGGAGGGCGUGAGUGCAGGGGAGGUAAGCGGAAUUCGUAGUGGAGCGGUGAAAUGCGUAGAUAUGAGGAGGAACACCAGUUGCGAAGGCGGCUUACUGCAGCGGAACUGACGUUGAGGCUCGAAAGCGCGGGUAUCGAACAGGAUUAGAUACCCUUGUAGUC
RNAcentral lists this ribosomal RNA (460 nucleotides) under uncultured bacterium. RNAcentral's name for it is "partial 16S ribosomal RNA". It matches the Rfam family "Bacterial small subunit ribosomal RNA", at positions 338 to 795 of the family's 1533-position model. The record is from RNAcentral.